RNAcentral lists this ribosomal RNA (497 nucleotides) under uncultured bacterium. Its description in RNAcentral is "partial 16S ribosomal RNA". It matches the Rfam family "Bacterial small subunit ribosomal RNA", at positions 28 to 507 of the family's 1533-position model. The record is from RNAcentral.
GACGAACGCUGGCGGCGUGCCUAAUACAUGCAAGUUGAGCGCUGAAGGUUGGUACUUGUACCAACUGGAUGAGCAGCGAACGGGUGAGUAACGCGUGGGGAAUCUGCCUUUGAGCGGGGGACAACAUUUGGAAACGAAUGCUAAUACCGCAUAAAAACUUUAAACACAAGUUUUAAGUUUGAAAGAUGCAAUUGCAUCACUCAAAGAUGAUCCCGCGUUGUAUUAGCUAGUUGGUGGGGUAAAGGCUCACCAAGGCGAUGAUACAUAGCCGACCUGAGAGGGUGAUCGGCCACAUUGGGACUGAGACACGGCCCAAACUCCUACGGGAGGCAGCAGUAGGGAAUCUUCGGCAAUGGACGAAAGUCUGACCGAGCAACGCCGCGUGAGUGAAGAAGGUUUUCGGAUCGUAAAACUCUGUUGGUAGAGAAGAACGUUGGUGGGAGUGGAAAGCUCAUCAAGUGACGGUAACUACCCAGAAAGGGACGGCUAACUACGUG